RNAcentral lists this ribosomal RNA (496 nucleotides) under uncultured bacterium. Its description in RNAcentral is "partial 16S ribosomal RNA". It matches the Rfam family "Bacterial small subunit ribosomal RNA", at positions 28 to 507 of the family's 1533-position model. The record is from RNAcentral.
GAUGAACGCUGGCGGCGUCCUAAUACAUGCCAGUCGAGCGAACAGACGAGGAGCUUGCUCCUCUGACGUUAGCGGCGGACGGGUGAGUAACACGUGGAUAACCUACCUAUAAGACUGGGAUAACUUCGGGAAACCGGAGCUAAUACCGGAUAAUAUAUUGAACCGCAUGGUUCAAUAGUGAAAGACGGUUUUGCUGUCACUUAUAGAUGGAUCCGCGCCGCAUUAGCUAGUUGGUAAGGUAACGGCUUACCAAGGCAACGAUGCGUAGCCGACCUGAGAGGGUGAUCGGCCACACUGGAACUGAGACACGGUCCAGACUCCUACGGGAGGCAGCAGUAGGGAAUCUUCCGCAAAGGGCGAAAGCCUGACGGAGCAACGCCGCGUGAGUGAUGAAGGUCUUCGGAUCGUAAAACUCUGUUAUUAGGGAAGAACAAAUGUGUAAGUAACUAUGCACGUCUUGACGGUACCUAAUCAGAAAGCCACGGCUAACUACGUG